GCUUGUAGGUUAUCUUGACAGAGGGGUAGGUAAUGUUAGUACUUGAUGUUCAUUGGUGUGUGUGUGUACAUGUUUAUGUGUGUUGAAUGUGUACUGCUUGUAGGUUAUCUUGAUAGAGGGGUAGGUAAUGUUAGUACUUGAUGUUCAUUGGUGUGUGUGUGUACAUGUUUAUGAAUGCAUACUGCUUGUAGGUUAUCUUGAUAGAGGGGUAGGUAAUGUUAGUACUUGAUGUUCAUUGGUGUGUGUGUGUACAUGUUUAUGAAUGCAUACUGCUUGUAGGUUAUCUUGAUAGAGGGGUAGUUAAUGUUAGUACUUGAUGUUCAUUGGUGUGUGUGUGUACAUGUUUAUGAAUGCAUACUGCUUGUAGGUUAUCUUGAUAGAGGGGUAGGUAAUGUUAGUACUUGAUGUUCAUUGGUGUGUGUACAUGUUUAUGUGUGUUGAAUGUGUACUGCUUGUAGGUUAUCUUGAUAGAGGGGUAGUUAAUGUUAGUACU
Oncorhynchus tshawytscha (Chinook salmon) is the source of this 493-nucleotide long non-coding RNA. The record is from Ensembl. NCBI's taxonomy places the organism in Eukaryota, Metazoa, Chordata, Actinopteri, Salmoniformes, Salmonidae.